AACGAACGCUGGCGGCAGGCUUAACACAUGCAAGUCGAGCGCACCUUCGGGUGAGCGGCGGACGGGUUAGUAACGCGUGGGAACAUACCCUUUGGUACGGAAUAGCCUCUGGAAACGGAGAGUAAUACCGUAUGAGCCCUUCGGGGGAAAGAUUUAUCGCCAAAGGAUUGGCCCGCGUUAGAUUAGGUAGUUGGUGGGGUAAUGGCCUACCAAGCCUACGAUCUAUAGCUGGUUUUAGAGGAUGAUCAGCAACACUGGGACUGAGACACGGCCCAGACUCCUACGGGAGGCAGCAGUGGGGAAUCUUGGACAAUGGGGGCAACCCUGAUCCAGCCAUGCCGCGUGAGUGAUGAAGGCCUUAGGGUCGUAAAGCUCUUUCGCCUGUGAAGAUAAUGACGGUAGCAGGUAAAGAAACCCCGGCUAACUCCGUGCCAGCAGCCGCGGUAAUACGGAGGGGGUUAGCGUUGUUCGGAAUUACUGGGCGUAAAGCGCACGUAGGCGGACUGGAAAGUUGGGGGUGAAAUCCCAGGGCUCAACCCUGGAACUGCCUCCAAAACUAUCAGUCUAGAGUUCGAGAGAGGUGAGUGGAAUUCCGAGUGUAGAGGUGAAAUUCGUAGAUAUUCGGAGGAACACCAGUGGCGAAGGCGGCUCACUGGCUCGAUACUGACGCUGAGGUGCGAAAGUGUGGGGAGCAAACAGGAUUAGAUACCCUGGUAGUCCACACCGUAAACGAUGAAUGCCAGUCGUCGGGUAGCAUGCUAUUCGGUGACACACCUAACGGAUUAAGCAUUCCGCCUGGG
This 800-nucleotide ribosomal RNA is filed under the name uncultured Alphaproteobacteria bacterium. RNAcentral's name for it is "bacterial SSU rRNA". It matches the Rfam family "Bacterial small subunit ribosomal RNA", at positions 28 to 877 of the family's 1533-position model. The record is from RNAcentral. Lineage: Bacteria; Pseudomonadati; Pseudomonadota; Alphaproteobacteria.